GAUGAAGAACGCAGCGAAAUGAGAUACGUAGUGUGAAUUGCAGAAUUCAGUGAAUCAUCGAAUCUUUGAACGCACAUUGCGCCCUUUGGUAUUCCAAAGGGCAUGCCUGUUCGAGCGUCAUUUGUACCCUCAAGCUUUGCUUGGUGUUGGGCGUCUUGUCUCCAGUCCGCUGGAGACUCGCCUUAAAGUCAUUGGCAGCCGGCCUACUGGUUUCGGAGCGCAGCACAAGUCGCACUCUUUUCCAGCCAAGGUCAGUGUCCAACAAGCCUUUUUUCAACUUUUGACCUCGGAUCAGGUAGGGAUACCCGCUGAACUUAAGCAUAUCAAUAAGCGGAGGA
This 338-nucleotide unclassified non-coding RNA is filed under the name soil metagenome. RNAcentral describes it as "partial contains 5.8S ribosomal RNA, internal transcribed spacer 2, and large subunit ribosomal RNA". The stretch from base 1 to 120 matches the Rfam family "5.8S ribosomal RNA", at positions 35 to 154 of the family's 154-position model. The record is from RNAcentral.